AUCACUAUGCACACUAAUCACUAAGCACACUAAUCACUAUGCACACUAAGCACACUAAUCACUAUGCACACAGAGUAUCUGCAUAUAUGUAUUUGCUAUAUACUGUAUAUUAUCCCUGACUCCUUUCUACACCACCUUCUGCCUGCAGUUCCAGGUCCUGCUGCUCACAUUUCUGGUUGAGCUGCUUGCUCUUUUAAAGCUUUGGGUCCGACUAACCUGAUGCACCGUGAUGCUUCUCUCCAAACCUGCUGCUGAGUCUCUGUCUGGCAAUAUCUGUAUUCAAACUGCACUGUGUUUCUUAGUGAUGUGCAUUUGUUGUUUGCUUGUGUGUGUUUUGUUUCUUUCUUUUUUUAAAUAUAGUUUUCCCAUAAGUUGAUGCACUGAUGGAACGAUGCUCCUUCUUCUAAAACUCAAAAGCCGUUAAUCAAAGCUCUGUGACUUCCUGCUGAGCCGAGUGUUCGGAGCUCCAGCCCGGACUCAGGAUCCAACAGAUGAUGAAGAUUCAGCUCUGUCUCUGUCCACCUACGCAAUGGUUGGUCCUCACACUGGACCCGUAGCACCCACUGAGACAACACAGCUCAGCUAGAGAGUGUGUACGCUGAGGUAAAAAAGACCACACCAAGUCCUUGAAAAAUAAUUUCAAGUCGUAUUCCACACACUGCAUUUGUUGGGAUUAUGAUUUAUGGCAACUGAGCCAUGGACUUUGUUUUUACGUUACCCUCUUUUGGUGUGAAAAUCCUAAACCACGUCCUGUGUCUGCACCCAGAAGCAGGCCCGGACUGGCAUCGGGAGGACUGGGAGGUUUCCCGAUGGCCUGGCCUGUUAAGUGGCCUGCUGGCCUGAGGAUUUUUUUUGUUUUAAUGUAUGUAUUGUGAACGCAACGCUGCGCAAA
Gymnodraco acuticeps is the source of this 892-nucleotide long non-coding RNA. RefSeq lists it as uncharacterized. The transcript is spliced from 3 exons. The record is from RefSeq and is a predicted model, not a curated record. Lineage: Eukaryota; Metazoa; Chordata; Actinopteri; Perciformes; Bathydraconidae.